RNAcentral lists this ribosomal RNA (407 nucleotides) under uncultured bacterium. RNAcentral's name for it is "partial 16S ribosomal RNA". It matches the Rfam family "Bacterial small subunit ribosomal RNA", at positions 28 to 526 of the family's 1533-position model. The record is from RNAcentral.
GACGAACGCUGGCGGCGCGCUUACCACAUGCAAGUCGAGCGAAGCGGCGGACGGGUGAGUAACACGCGAGUAACCUGCCUUAGACAUUGGGAUAGCCUCGGGAAACCGGGAUUACUACCCAAUGGUCUACGAUGGACUCGCGUCCCAUUAUCUAGUUGGUGAGGUAACGGCCCACCAAGGCGACGAUGGGUAGCCGGCCUGAGAGGGUGAACGGCCACAUUGGGACUGAGAAACGGUCCAAACUCUACGGGAGGCAGCAGUGGGGAAUAUUGCACAAGGGAGGGAACUCUGAUGCAGGGACGCCGCGUGAACGAAGAAGGCUUUCGAGUCGUAAAGUUCUUUUAUAUGGGAAGCGGUACCAUAAGAAAAAGCCCCGGCUAACUACGUGCCAGCAGCCGCGGUAAUAC